AGUGAACGCUGGCGGUAGGCCUAACACAUGCAAGUCGAACGGCAGCACAGUAAGAGCUUGCUCUUACGGGUGGCGAGUGGCGGACGGGUGAGGAAUACAUCGGAAUCUACUUUUUCGUGGGGGAUAACGUAGGGAAACUUACGCUAAUACCGCAUACGACCUACGGGUGAAAGCAGGGGAUCUUCGGACCUUGCGCGAUUGAAUGAGCCGAUGUCGGAUUAGCUAGUUGGCGGGGUAAAGGCCCACCAAGGCGACGAUCCGUAGCUGGUCUGAGAGGAUGAUCAGCCACACUGGAACUGAGACACGGUCCAGACUCCUACGGGAGGCAGCAGUGGGGAAUAUUGGACAAUGGGUGUAAGCCUGAUCCAGCCAUACCGCGUGGGUGAAGAAGGCCUUCGGGUUGUAAAGCCCUUUUGUUGGGAAAGAAAAGCAGCAGGUUAAUACCCCGCUGUUCUGACGGUACCCAAAGAAUAAGCACCGGCUAACUUCGUG
This 492-nucleotide ribosomal RNA is filed under the name uncultured bacterium. RNAcentral describes it as "partial 16S ribosomal RNA". It matches the Rfam family "Bacterial small subunit ribosomal RNA", at positions 29 to 507 of the family's 1533-position model. The record is from RNAcentral.